Molecule: ribosomal RNA, 310 nt
Filed under: Timon pater
Lineage: Eukaryota; Metazoa; Chordata; Lepidosauria; Squamata; Lacertidae
Description: partial 12S ribosomal RNA
Rfam family: Bacterial small subunit ribosomal RNA
Source: RNAcentral
CCGCCAGAGAACUACAAGUGAAAAACUUGAAACUCAAAGGACUUGACGGUAUCCCAUAUCGACCUAGAGGAGCCUGUCCUAUAAUCGAUACCCCUCGCUCCACCCAACCAUAACUAGCACAACAGCAGCCUAUAUACCGCCGUCGAUCAGCCUACCCUAUGAAGGUCUAACAGUAGACACAAUAGCCCAACCGCUAGUACGUCAGGUCAAGGUGUAGCAAAUGUUAUGGAAGAGAUUGGCUACAUUUUUUAUGAUAAAAACACGAAAAGUAUUAUGAAACAAUACAUGAAGGUGAAUUUAGUAGUAAAAU